ACGCUGGCGGCGUGCUUAACACAUGCAAGUCGAACGAUGAAGCCUAGCUCGCUAGGUGGAUUAGUGGCGAACGGGUGAGUAAUACGUGAGUAACCUACCUUUAACUCUGGGAUAAGCCCGGGAAACUGGGUCUAAUACCGGAUACGACCAAUCUCCGCAUGGGGUGUUGGUGGAAAGCGUUAUGUAGUGGUUAUAGAUGGGCUCACGGCCUAUCAGCUUGUUGGUGAGGUAACGGCUCACCAAGGCGACGACGGGUAGCCGGCCUGAGAGGGUGACCGGCCACACUGGGACUGAGACACGGCCCAGACUCCUACGGGAGGCAGCAGUGGGGAAUAUUGCACAAUGGGCGCAAGCCUGAUGCAGCGACGCCGCGUGAGGGAUGACGGCCUUCGGGUUGUAAACCUCUGUUAGCAGGGAAGAAGAGAGAUUGGCGGUACCUGCAGAGAAAGCGCCGGCUAACUACGUGCCAGCAGCCGCGGUAAUACGUAGGGCGCGAGCGUUGUCCGGAAUUAUUGGGCGUAAAGAGCUUGUAGGCGGUUUGUCGCGUCUGCUGUGAAAGGCCGGGGCUUAACUCCGUGUAUUGCAGUGGGUACGGGCAGACUAGAGUGCAGUAGGGGAGACUGGAACUCCUGGUGUAGCGGUGGAAUGCGCAGAUAUCAGGAGGAACACCGAUGGCGAAGGCAGGUCUCUGGGCUGUAACUGACGCUGAGAAGCGAAAGCAUGGGGAGCGAACAGGAUUAGAUACCCUGGUAGUCCAUGCCGUAAACGUUGGGCACUAGGUGUGGGGGACAUUCCACGUUUUCCGCGCCGUAGCUAACGCAUUAAGUGCCCCGCCUGGGGAGUACGGCCGCAAGGCUAAAACUCAAAGAAAUUGACGGGGGCCCGCACAAGCGGCGGAGCAUGCGGAUUAAUUCGAUGCAACGCGAAGAA
RNAcentral lists this ribosomal RNA (930 nucleotides) under uncultured bacterium. RNAcentral's name for it is "bacterial SSU rRNA". It matches the Rfam family "Bacterial small subunit ribosomal RNA", at positions 33 to 968 of the family's 1533-position model. The record is from RNAcentral.